RNAcentral lists this ribosomal RNA (443 nucleotides) under uncultured Peptococcaceae bacterium. Its description in RNAcentral is "bacterial SSU rRNA". It matches the Rfam family "Bacterial small subunit ribosomal RNA", at positions 338 to 795 of the family's 1533-position model. Lineage: Bacteria; Bacillati; Bacillota; Clostridia; Eubacteriales; Peptococcaceae. The record is from RNAcentral.
CCUACGGGCGGCUGCAGUGGGGAAUCUUCCGCAAUGGGCGAAAGCCUGACGGAGCAACGCCGCGUGAGUGAGGAAGGCCUUCGGGUUGUAAAACUCUGUCAUCAGGGACGAAACAAAUGACGGUACCUGAUGAGGAAGCCCUGGCUAACUACGUGCCAGCAGCCGCGGUAAAACGUAGGGGGCGAGCGUUGUCCGGAAUUACUGGGCGUAAAGGGCGUGUAGGCGGUCUUUUAAGUCAGAGGUGAAAACUGCCGGCUUAACCGGUAGCUUGCCUUUGAAACUAGGAGACUUGAGGGCAGGAGAGGAGAGUGGAAUUCCCGGUGUAGCGGUGAUAUGCGUAGAUAUCGGGAGGAACACCAGUGGCGAAGGCGGCUCUCUGGCCUGCUUCUGACGCUGAGGCGCGAAAGCGUGGGUAGCGAACGGGCUUAGAUACCCCUGUAGUC